AGGGUUCGAUUAUGGCUCAGGAUGAACGCUAGCUACAGGCUUAACACAUGCAAGUCGAGGGGAAACGACAUCGAAAGCUUGCUUUUGAUGGGCGUCGACCGGCGCACGGGUGAGUAACGCGUAUCCAACCUGCCCACCACUUGGGGAUAACCUUGCGAAAGUAAGACUAAUACCCAAUGAUAUCUCUAGAAGACAUCUGAAAGAGAUUAAAGAUUUAUCGGUGAUGGAUGGGGAUGCGUCUGAUUAGCUUGUUGGCGGGGUAACGGCCCACCAAGGCAACGAUCAGUAGGGGUUCUGAGAGGAAGGUCCCCCACAUUGGAACUGAGACACGGUCCAA
RNAcentral lists this ribosomal RNA (337 nucleotides) under uncultured bacterium. RNAcentral describes it as "bacterial SSU rRNA". It matches the Rfam family "Bacterial small subunit ribosomal RNA", at positions 8 to 334 of the family's 1533-position model. The record is from RNAcentral.